AACAAGACGGAAGAGAGUCACUCUUACCGUCGUGCAUACCUUAAGCGGGUCUGCCGCCUUCGUUUCUCUUUCUUCGCGAAUGACUUUGAUUGCGCUCGCGCGCCGUGUCGGCCUUUGGCCUGGCGCUCCGCGAGGGCGCGGCACGAGCCGCGACGGCCGGUCGGCCUUGCGAGGCUCUGCCUCGAAGCUGACGACCAUCUGCGCUUGGGGCUUAGGGCUUGUAGCUCAGUUGGUUAGAGCGCGCGCUUGAUAAGCGUGAGGUCGGAGGUUCAAGUCCUCCCAGGCCCACCACUUCGCAAUCCGCAAGGAUUGUCGAUCUCCUCGACAGGUUCGAAGAGGUAUAUUCAGGGGCCGUAGCUCAGCUGGGAGAGCGCCUGCUUUGCAAGCAGGAUGUCGUCGGUUCGAUCCCGUCCGGCUCCACCACCUCGCGCAAUCCGCAGGAUUGUCGCUGCACAAUCCGCAGGAUUGUCGCUUCUUCUCCGGGAGAAAAAGGGUGUCGAGUGGAUGUGAAACCGGUUGCAAAGUCAUUCGUUUAAGAGUUUGCGGCGAGCCUUUUGGCUCUCCGCCUGUUCUGUAUGACAUCGUAAAGAGAAGAUUUGUUCGAACUUCAUAUCGCGCAAGGGGUGUGAUUUGUCGCGGGAGACGCUCAAUCUCCCGCAUAUGAUGGGUUUGCCUAACCGCACCCUCGAACCGAUCUCGAGAAGCUGGUCUUUUUGUG
Molecule: transfer RNA, 718 nt
Filed under: Mesorhizobium temperatum
Lineage: Bacteria; Pseudomonadati; Pseudomonadota; Alphaproteobacteria; Hyphomicrobiales; Phyllobacteriaceae
Description: partial 16S-23S ribosomal RNA intergenic spacer
Rfam family: tRNA (bases 215-288)
Source: RNAcentral